UUAAGCGACUAAGCGUACACGGUGGAUGCCCUGGCAGUCAGAGGCGAUGAAGGACGUGCUAAUCUGCGAUAAGCGUCGGUAAGGUGAUAUGAACCGUUAUAACCGGCGAUUUCCGAAUGGGGAAACCCAGUGUGUUUCGACACACUAUCAUUAACUGAAUCCAUAGGUUAAUGAGGCGAACCGGGGGAACUGAAACAUCUAAGUACCCCGAGGAAAAGAAAUCAACCGAGAUUCCCCCAGUAGCGGCGAGCGAACGGGGAGCAGCCCAGAGCCUGAAUCAGUGUGUGUGUUAGUGGAAGCGUCUGGAAAGGCGUGCGAUACAGGGUGACAGCCCCGUACACAAAAAUGCACAUGCUGUGAGCUCGAUGAGUAGGGCGGGACACGUGGUAUCCUGUCUGAAUAUGGGGGGACCAUCCUCCAAGGCUAAAUACUCCUGACUGACCGAUAGUGAACCAGUACCGUGAGGGAAAGGCGAAAAGAACCCCGGCGAGGGGAGUGAAAAAGAACCUGAAACCGUGUACGUACAAGCAGUGGGAGCACGCUUAGGCGUGUGACUGCGUACCUUUUGUAUAAUGGGUCAGCGACUUAUAUUCUGUAGCAAGGUUAACCGAAUAGGGGAGCCGAAGGGAAACCGAGUCUUAACUGGGCGUUAAGUUGCAGGGUAUAGACCCGAAACCCGGUGAUCUAGCCAUGGGCAGGUUGAAGGUUGGGUAACACUAACUGGAGGACCGAACCGACUAAUGUUGAAAAAUUAGCGGAUGACUUGUGGCUGGGGGUGAAAGGCCAAUCAAACCGGGAGAUAGCUGGUUCUCCCCGAAAGCUAUUUAGGUAGCGCCUCGUGAAUUCAUCUCCGGGGGUAGAGCACUGUUUCGGCAAGGGGGUCAUCCCGACUUACCAACCCGAUGCAAACUGCGAAUACCGGAGAAUGUUAUCACGGGAGACACACGGCGGGUGCUAACGUCCGUCGUGAAGAGGGAAACAACCCAGACCGCCAGCUAAGGUCCCAAAGUCAUGGUUAAGUGGGAAACGAUGUGGGAAGGCCCAGACAGCCAGGAUGUUGGCUUAGAAGCAGCCAUCAUUUAAAGAAAGCGUAAUAGCUCACUGGUCGAGUCGGCCUGCGCGGAAGAUGUAACGGGGCUAAACCAUGCACCGAAGCUGCGGCAGCGACGCUGAUGCGUUGUUGGGUAGGGGAGCGUUCUGUAAGCCUGUGAAGGUGUGCUGUGAGGCAUGCUGGAGGUAUCAGAAGUGCGAAUGCUGACAUAAGUAACGAUAAAGCGGGUGAAAAGCCCGCUCGCCGGAAGACCAAGGGUUCCUGUCCAACGUUAAUCGGGGCAGGGUGAGUCGACCCCUAAGGCGAGGCCGAAAGGCGUAGUCGAUGGGAAACAGGUUAAUAUUCCUGUACUUGGUGUUACUGCGAAGGGGGGACGGAGAAGGCUAUGUUGGCCGGGCGACGGUUGUCCCGGUUUAAGCGUGUAGGCUGGUUUUCCAGGCAAAUCCGGAAAAUCAAGGCUGAGGCGUGAUGACGAGGCACUACGGUGCUGAAGCAACAAAUGCCCUGCUUCCAGGAAAAGCCUCUAAGCAUCAGGUAACAUCAAAUCGUACCCCAAACCGACACAGGUGGUCAGGUAGAGAAUACCAAGGCGCUUGAGAGAACUCGGGUGAAGGAACUAGGCAAAAUGGUGCCGUAACUUCGGGAGAAGGCACGCUGAUAUGUAGGUGAGGUCCCUCGCGGAUGGAGCUGAAAUCAGUCGAAGAUACCAGCUGGCUGCAACUGUUUAUUAAAAACACAGCACUGUGCAAACACGAAAGUGGACGUAUACGGUGUGACGCCUGCCCGGUGCCGGAAGGUUAAUUGAUGGGGUCAGCGCAAGCGAAGCUCUUGAUCGAAGCCCCGGUAAACGGCGGCCGUAACUAUAACGGUCCUAAGGUAGCGAAAUUCCUUGUCGGGUAAGUUCCGACCUGCACGAAUGGCGUAAUGAUGGCCAGGCUGUCUCCACCCGAGACUCAGUGAAAUUGAACUCGCUGUGAAGAUGCAGUGUACCCGCGGCAAGACGGAAAGACCCCGUGAACCUUUACUAUAGCUUGACACUGAACAUUGAGCCUUGAUGUGUAGGAUAGGUGGGAGGCUUUGAAGUGUGGACGCCAGUCUGCAUGGAGCCGACCUUGAAAUACCACCCUUUAAUGUUUGAUGUUCUAACGUGGACCCGUGAUCCGGGUUGCGGACAGUGUCUGGUGGGUAGUUUGACUGGGGCGGUCUCCUCCUAAAGAGUAACGGAGGAGCACGAAGGUUGGCUAAUCCUGGUCGGACAUCAGGAGGUUAGUGCAAUGGCAUAAGCCAGCUUGACUGCGAGCGUGACGGCGCGAGCAGGUGCGAAAGCAGGUCAUAGUGAUCCGGUGGUUCUGAAUGGAAGGGCCAUCGCUCAACGGAUAAAAGGUACUCCGGGGAUAACAGGCUGAUACCGCCCAAGAGUUCAUAUCGACGGCGGUGUUUGGCACCUCGAUGUCGGCUCAUCACAUCCUGGGGCUGAAGUAGGUCCCAAGGGUAUGGCUGUUCGCCAUUUAAAGUGGUACGCGAGCUGGGUUUAGAACGUCGUGAGACAGUUCGGUCCCUAUCUGCCGUGGGCGCUGGAGAACUGAGGGGGGCUGCUCCUAGUACGAGAGGACCGGAGUGGACGCAUCACUGGUGUUCGGGUUGUCAUGCCAAUGGCACUGCCCGGUAGCUAAAUGCGGAAGAGAUAAGUGCUGAAAGCAUCUAAGCACGAAACUUGCCCCGAGAUGAGUUCUCCCUGACUCCUUGAGAGUCCUGAAGGAACGUUGAAGACGACGACGUUGAUAGGCCGGGUGUGUAAGCGCAGCGAUGCGUUGAGCUAACCGGUACUAAUGAACCGUGAGGCUUAACCUU
RNAcentral lists this ribosomal RNA (2902 nucleotides) under Escherichia coli. Its description in RNAcentral is "bacterial LSU rRNA". It matches the Rfam family "Bacterial large subunit ribosomal RNA". Lineage: Bacteria; Pseudomonadati; Pseudomonadota; Gammaproteobacteria; Enterobacterales; Enterobacteriaceae. The record is from RNAcentral.